UAGGGAAUUUUCCACAAUGGGCGAAAGCCUGAUGGAGCAACGCCGCGUGCAGGAUGAAGGCCUUCGGGUUGUAAACUGCUUUUGUUAGUGAAGAUUAUGACGGUAACUAGCGAAUAAGGGUCUGCUAACUACGUGCCAGCAGCCGCGGUCAUACGUGGGACCCAAGCGUUAUCCGGAAUUACUGGGCGUAAAGAGUUGCGUAGGUGGCAGAGUAAGUUGGUAGUGAAAGCGUGUGGCUCAACCAUACAUCCAUUACCAAAACUGCUCAGCUUGAGGACAAGAGAGGUCACUGGAAUUUCUAGUGUAGGAGUGAAAUCCGUAGAUAUUAGAAGGAACACCAAUGGCGUAGGCAGGUGACUGGCUUGUUCCUGACACUAAGGCACGAAAGCGUGGGGAGCGAACGGGAUUAGAUACCCCCGUAGUCC
This 425-nucleotide ribosomal RNA is filed under the name uncultured bacterium. RNAcentral's name for it is "bacterial SSU rRNA". It matches the Rfam family "Bacterial small subunit ribosomal RNA", at positions 355 to 796 of the family's 1533-position model. The record is from RNAcentral.